UGGUGGUGUGAGUUGUCUGGUUGAUUCCGUUAACGAACGAGACCUUUGUUGUAUAAUAGGAGGCAGUAGUUUUUGCGUCAAGGGUGGCGGGGACUUGCUGGGAUACGAGCAAUCGCCCUGGCAAAAUCGUCGUCACUUGCAUAGCUAGUGUCAGUUUCCUUCUAUACAAGACAAAUACAGAAAAUGUAUUGGAAGUUAUAGGCAAAAACA
This 210-nucleotide ribosomal RNA is filed under the name uncultured eukaryote. RNAcentral describes it as "partial 18S ribosomal RNA". It matches the Rfam family "Eukaryotic small subunit ribosomal RNA", at positions 1299 to 1458 of the family's 1831-position model. The record is from RNAcentral.